CGUGGUGUGAGCUGGGGCGUGGAGUUGUCCCGUUCGGGUCCCGGGCCGGGGACACAGCUCCAGACCCCAGUCCUGCACCCACGGCCCUCACUGAGCUGGCUUAGUUUUCUGUAUUCUAAAAGAGGCGGUCUUUGCAGUUAGCCUCGGAGGCGCCUCAGGAGGGGGUCACUCCGGACGGGACGGGAAGUGCCAGCGCUCUGCGGGUCCCAGCCGCGUGGGGUGCCCUGGGCUCGCUGGCUCCUUCCUGCGUGUCGUGCACCGCACCGGGAGGCCGGACAUUGUCCCCACCCCCCGGGAAGCCCACCAGGCCGGCCUCGGCCACCUCCGAGGCAGCCCUUAGUAUUCUUUGGAUUUGAGAUUUGAGCUCACCUCCACCCUACCUCCGCCCCUUCCUGGCCGAACGACCUUGGGGACCCACGGGGCCUUUCUGAGCUUCGGAUCAGCCACCUGCAAAAACUGAGCUGAUGAAGCUUCCCGCACCGAGCUAGAGGCUUCACAGCAGCUGCCUGGGCCACAAGGAAGUUCCUGGUAGAGAGGGAUCGGGCCCCCACACCCGCCCGGGGACCACAAGUUCCCAGACCAAAGAAACUGGCUGGGGCUCCGUUAGAAGAAAGCCCCCCAACCUGCUUCCCAGGCGCUGGAUUCCAGGCGUCCCACCCACACACAGGCGACACACUUCCUGGACCUCUGCCCUGCACUCUCAACACCCAGCUGUCACCUUGCCCUGGCCCCUGGAAGUCGCUCCUCUGCUUGGAAGCUGGACCACCAUGUCCCCUCACACUUAGGAGCGAAGGGUCCCCGAGGCCCGGGCUCCAUCAGGGGCUCUCUCGGUCCCCAAGUGGUCCUUGUGCUCUCAGGCCAGCCUGGCCCGACCUGAGGGAACUGGAUGUGCUGGGGUGGGGGUGGCAGCACUGCAGGGGCCAGGGGAUGCCCCACUGGGUUCAGCCCUGGCUCUGAGCAGCCUCCAGCUGGCCCGAGGCCCCAGGCUGCCUGGCAUUUUCCACCGGCCCAUGCCAGCACCCAGGCAGCCUGGCAGUGGCCGUGGGUACCCGCAUUCCCUUUGGCAGUAGCCUGUACCUCCUGCACGGCCCCUCCUGGUCUGUGCCUACCUCAUCCCCGGCCAAGCUUCCCUGGCACACUAUGGGGAGAGCCUUGUGUCUGGGUCUGUGUAGGGGGCCCUUAGCUAUAUGGGCUCUGAAGCAGACACCCUGGGCCUAGACUGGCAUAGGACAGAGAGCGGUGCGGUGUCUGGGGUGACCUGGCCCGCUGCCCGCCCAGCAGUGUGUGGCAUAGCAGAAUAGGGACUGGACCCAAGGAGCCCUGCAGACUGCCUGGCAGCCAGUAAAAGGUCCAGCCCCCAGGACUCUGGGUCACGGCUCUAUGCCUCUGUACGGGGCAGGGAGAGUGGGGGCGUGUAGGGUGCUGCGCCAGGGUACUGGGCUGCAGGCACCCAGUGGGAACAGAGGGGGCCUAUGUGUGUGUGUGUGGGAAAGUGGGUGCCGGGGCAUGGCCAUGUGCAGGUGGGAGAACAAAGAGGGAGGUGAGUUACAGGCACAUCUCAGUGCAGGGGGCGGUGGGGGGGCACUCCAAGUGAGGGUGUGUCUCGUAAAAGCCCUGCUGUCCACUAUGGCUGGAGCUGGCCCCUGUGAUCUCAGAAGCCUUACAGCAAGAAGGC
Molecule: long non-coding RNA, 1675 nt
Organism: Leopardus geoffroyi (Geoffroy's cat)
Lineage: Eukaryota; Metazoa; Chordata; Mammalia; Carnivora; Felidae
Exons: 3
Source: RefSeq, a predicted model, not a curated record